This 405-nucleotide small RNA is filed under the name Pan troglodytes (chimpanzee). RNAcentral describes it as "retained intron". Lineage: Eukaryota; Metazoa; Chordata; Mammalia; Primates; Hominidae. The record is from RNAcentral.
AGAUAAUGACCCAGGCUCUCUCUUUUCCAAAGAACAGCAAUUUCCCAGCAGAGGUGAAGGACCUGACUAAGCGUAUAAGGACUGUUUUGAUGGCCACAGCUCAGAUGAAGGAGCACGAGAAGGACCCCGAGAUGCUGGUGGAUCUCCAGUACAGCCUGGCAAACUCCUAUGCAAGCACUCCCGAACUACGCAGGACCUGGCUGGAAAGUAUGGCCAAGAUUCACGCCAGAAACGGAGAUUUAUCUGAGGCUGCCAUGUGUUACAUCCAUAUUGCUGCUCUCAUUGCAGAGUAUCUGAAAAGAAAGGGUUACUGGAAAGUGGAAAAGAUUUGCACAGCAUCCCUGCUCUCGGAGGAUACCCACCCCUGUGAUAGCAACUCAUUACUAACAACUCCCAGUGGAGGAA